Molecule: RNA transcript, 2030 nt
Organism: Hevea brasiliensis (rubber tree)
Lineage: Eukaryota; Viridiplantae; Streptophyta; Magnoliopsida; Malpighiales; Euphorbiaceae
Gene name: metal transporter Nramp1
Exons: 15
Source: RefSeq, a predicted model, not a curated record
AGAGUGAGAAGUCUGCUUCUUGAUGUGCGUUUCUUGUAACUGAACAGAGAAGGAGAAACCAAUGGCGGGUUCGACGUCUGUGCAGCCUCAGUUCAUUGUCAGCACUGGGAAUCGGAGCUUUUCCAAUGCACCCCUCAUUGACAAUUCAGAUACUGAUCAAAUUGUCGUUCCCGACAAGAAAAGCUGGAAAAACCUUUUUGCAUAUAUGGGUCCAGGGUUCCUUGUUUCUAUUGCAUAUAUCGACCCUGGAAAUUUUGAAACUGACCUGCAGUCAGGAGCGGAAUACAAGUAUGAGUUACUUUGGAUCAUAUUAGUGGCCUCAUGUGCUGCUCUUAUCAUACAAUCUCUAGCAGCCAAUUUGGGGGUUGUCACUGGAAAGCAUUUAGCAGAACACUGUAGGAUUGAAUAUCCUAGGGUGCCAAACUUCAUCCUUUGGAUUCUUGCUGAAAUUGCUAUUGUUGCAUGUGAUAUUCCUGAAGUAAUUGGUACAGCCUUUGCAUUGAACAUGCUCUUCAAAAUUCCUGUGUGGAUUGGUGUUCUUCUGACUGGGCUUAGUACGUUGGUUCUUCUAGCUCUCCAGCAGUAUGGGGUCCGGAAGCUUGAAUUCCUUAUCGCUUUUCUUGUUUCUACAAUCACUACAUGCUUUUUUGUGGAGCUUGCCUAUGCAAAACCCUCUGCUUCUGAAGUUCUCUAUGGGCUUUUUGUUCCACAACUCAAGGGACAUGGUGCUGCUGGCCUUGCAAUUUCACUUCUUGGUGCCAUGGUUAUGCCACACAAUCUCUUCCUCCAUUCAGCAUUGGUGCUUUCUAGGAAAGUCCCACGAUCCAUUCCUGGUAUCAAGGAGGCUUGUAGAUUUUACUUGAUAGAAAGUGCCUUUGCCCUCACACUGGCCUUUUUCAUUAAUGUAUCCGUUAUUUCUGUAAGUGGUGCUGUUUGCAAUUCCUCAAAUUUAAAUCCAGAAGAUCAGUCAAACUGCAAGGACCUGGACUUGAACAAGGCUUCUUUUUUGCUUAAAAAUGUUUUGGGUAGAUGGAGUUCAAAACUUUUUGCAGUUGCUUUGUUGGCAUCAGGUCAGAGUUCUACCAUAACAGGAACUUAUGCAGGGCAGUAUGUCAUGCAGGGUUUCUUGGAUCUACGAUUGGCGCCAUGGAUACGGAACUUUCUAACUCGAUGCUUGGCAAUAGUCCCUAGUUUAAUUGUUGCACUCAUCAGUGGCUCUGCUGGGGCUGGAGAGCUAAUUAUUAUUGCAUCUAUGAUUCUAUCAUUUGAGCUUCCUUUUGCUCUCAUUCCGCUUCUCAAGUUCACUAGUUGCAAAGCCAAGAUGGGGAUACAUGCCAACUCAACUGUGAUUUCAGCUGUCACUUGGAUCAUUGGUUCCCUGAUCAUGUCAAUAAACAUAUACUACCUUUCAACUGGCUUAAUCAACAUUCUUCUUCAUGGCCAUUUAAAAGUGGUAGCCAUUGUUUUUCUUGGAAUAUUCGGAUUUUUGGCUUUCGCAUUGUAUUUGGCUGCAAUUGCAUAUUUGGUGUUUCGUAAAAACAAGGUAGGUACUCAUCUUUUGGCACUAACUGCACCUGAAAGUCAACAGAUGGCUAACGAGUCUCGUGAUACAUCAAUGCAUAAUCUCCCUAGAGAAGACAUAGUAAACAUGCAGUUACCUCAAAGAAGGUCUACAGAAGAAGUCGAUUGAUAAAUGAUAGGGUAAGAGUCUACAGAAGAUGUCCACUGAUAAGUGGUAGUGUAAUUGAUAUCCUAGGAUGGCAGUCUGUGAAUCUGCAGUGACAGAAAUAACAUUUGGAAUAGAGUUUAAUAAGUUCUGAAACAAAAGACUAAGGUUGGCUUUAUCUGAUGCUUUUGUGAAGCAGUACACUUUCAGAUCAUCAUAUUCAUAUUAUUAGAAAGUGGCAUUGGGCACAUACAAUCCAUUUAUGGUGUGGCAAUAGCUGAAAUAUUUUAACUCUGUAGAUGUUUCCUCAAGAUUCAUAACAAUCUUAACAAGAAUUCCAAUUAACCAUUUUUAGAUUCACAAA